UACGUAGGUGGCGAGCGUUGUCCGGAUUUACUGGGCGUAAAGGGAGCGUAGGCGGACUUUUAAGUGAGAUGUGAAAUACCCGGGCUCAACUUGGGUGCUGCAUUUCAAACUGGAAGUCUAGAGUGCAGGAGAGGAGAAUGGAAUUCCUAGUGUAGCGGUGAAAUGCGUAGAGAUUAGGAAGAACACCAGUGGCGAAGGCGAUUCUCUGGACUGUAACUGACGCUGAUGCACGAAAGCGUGGGGAUCAAACAGGAUUAGAUA
This 261-nucleotide ribosomal RNA is filed under the name uncultured prokaryote. Its description in RNAcentral is "partial 16S ribosomal RNA". It matches the Rfam family "Bacterial small subunit ribosomal RNA", at positions 524 to 784 of the family's 1533-position model. The record is from RNAcentral.